CCUACGUGAGGCAGCAGUGAGGAAUAUUGGUCAAUGGACGAGAGUCUGAACCAGCCAAGUAGCGUGAAGGAUGACUGCCCUAUGGGUUGUACACUUCUUUUAUAUGGGAAUAAAAUGUUCCACGUGUGGGAUUUUGUAUGUACCAUGUUAAUAAGUAUCGGCUAACUCCGUGCCAGCAGCCGCGGUAAUACGGAGGAUCCGAGCGUUAUCCGGAUUUAUUGGGUUUAAAGGGAGCGUAGGUGGAUUGUUAAGUCAGUUGUGAAAGUUUGCGGCGCAACCGUAAAAUUGAAGUUGAAACUGGCAGUCUGGAGUACAGUAGAGGUGGGCGGAAUUCGUGGUGCAGCGGUGAAAUGCUUAGAUAGCACGAAGAACUCCGAUUGCGAAGGCAGUUCACUGGACUGCAAAUGACACUGAGGCUCGAAAGUGUGGGUAUCAAACAGGAGUAGAUACCCGAGUAGUC
RNAcentral lists this ribosomal RNA (460 nucleotides) under uncultured bacterium. Its description in RNAcentral is "partial 16S ribosomal RNA". It matches the Rfam family "Bacterial small subunit ribosomal RNA", at positions 338 to 795 of the family's 1533-position model. The record is from RNAcentral.